UCCCUCUCUCCGGGGUCCAGGGUGAGGUGCGGCCCCCGUCUCCCUCUCUCCUGGGUCCAGGGUGAGGUGCGGCCCCCGUCUCCCUCUCUCCUGGGUCCAGGGUGAGGUGAGGCCCCCGUCUCCCUCUCUCCGGGGUCCAGGGUGAGGUGCGGCCCCCGUCUCCCUCUCUCCUGGGUCCAGGGUGAGGUGCGGCCCCCGUCUCCCUCUCUCCUGGGUCCAGGGUGAGGUGAGGCCCCCGUCUCCCUCUCUCCGGGGUCCAGGGUGAGGUGCGGCCCCCGUCUCCCUCUCUCCUGGGUCCAGGGUGAGGUGCGGCCCCCGUCUCCCUCUCUCCUGGGUCCAGGGUGAGGUGCGGCCCCCGUCUCCCUCUCUCCUGGGUCCAGGGUGAGGUGAGGCCCCCGUCUCCCUCUCUCCGGGGUCCAGGGUGAGGUGCGGCCCCCGUCUCCCUCUCUCCUGGGUCCAGGGUGAGGUGCGGCCCCCGUCUCCCUCUCUCCUGGGUCACAGUGAGGUGAGGCCCCCGUCUCCCUCUCUCCGGGGUCCAGGGUGAGGUGCGGCCCCCGUCUCCCUCUCUCCUGGGUCCAGGGUGAGGUGCGGCCCCCGUCUCCCUCUCUCCUGGGUCCAGGGUGAGGUGCGGCCCCCGUCUCCCUCUCUCCUGGGUCCAGGGUGAGGUGAGGCCCCCGUCUCCCUCUCUCCUGGGUCCAGGGUGAGGUGCGGCCCCCGUCUCCCUCUCUCCUGGGUCCAGGGUGAGGUGCGGCCCCCGUCUCCCUCUCUCCUGGGUCCAGGGUGAGGUGAGGCCCCCGUCUCCCUCUCUCCGGGGUCCAGGGUGAGGUGCGGCCCCCGUCUCCCUCUCUCCUGGGUCCAGGGUGAGGUGCGGCCCCCGUCUCCCUCUCUCCUGGGUCCAGGGUGAGGUGAGGCCCCCGUCUCCCUCUCUCCGGGGUCCAGGGUGAGGUGCGGCCCCCGUCUCCCUCUCUCCUGGGUCCAGGGUGAGGUGAGGCCCCCGUCUCCCUCUCUCCUGGGUCACAGUGAGGUGAGGCUCCCGUCUCCCUCUCUCCUGGGUCACAGUGCGGUGAGGCUCUGCUGAUCACUCCAGGGACUGGCACAGCCUGUGCAAGAUUCCAGAAAAGCUGGGAGGACAGCACCUGGAGUCCUGCA
This is a non-coding RNA of Oryctolagus cuniculus (rabbit), 1149 nucleotides long. The record is from RefSeq and is a predicted model, not a curated record. Lineage: Eukaryota; Metazoa; Chordata; Mammalia; Lagomorpha; Leporidae.